GACGAACGCUGGCGGCGUGCUUAACACAUGCAAGUCGAACGGAAAGGCCCUGCUUUUGUGGGGUGCUCGAGUGGCGAACGGGUGAGUAACACGUGAGUAACCUGCCCUUGACUUUGGGAUAACUUCAGGAAACUGGGGCUAAUACCGGAUAGGAGCUCCUGCUGCAUGGUGGGGGUUGGAAAGUUUCGGCGGUUGGGGAUGGACUCGCGGCUUAUCAGCUUGUUGGUGGGGUAGUGGCUUACCAAGGCUUUGACGGGUAGCCGGCCUGAGAGGGUGACCGGCCACAUUGGGGCUGAGGUACGGCCCAGACUCCUACGGGAGGCAGCAGUGGGGAAUAUUGCACAAUGGGCGGAAGCCUGAUGCAGCAACGCCGCGUGCGGGAUGACGGCCUUCGGGUUGUAAACCGCUUUCGCCUGUGACGAAGCGUGAGUGGCGGUAAUGGGUAAAGAAGCACCGGGUGACUACGUG
RNAcentral lists this ribosomal RNA (468 nucleotides) under uncultured bacterium. RNAcentral's name for it is "partial 16S ribosomal RNA". It matches the Rfam family "Bacterial small subunit ribosomal RNA", at positions 28 to 507 of the family's 1533-position model. The record is from RNAcentral.